This is a long non-coding RNA of Scylla paramamosain (green mud crab), 3205 nucleotides long. RefSeq lists it as uncharacterized. The transcript is spliced from 4 exons. NCBI's taxonomy places the organism in Eukaryota, Metazoa, Arthropoda, Malacostraca, Decapoda, Portunidae. The record is from RefSeq and is a predicted model, not a curated record.
AGUCAGUCAGUGGUCAGUAGCGUCAGCUUUGUUGUGGUGUACGCGUGGGUUUUGUGUUUUCUUGAACGCUUAUUUGGGCUUCAGGUGAACCAAAACUCUCUCAAAGCUUGUCCACAGUGGUCAGCAGCUGUGACACAAGGAGCAACUGUCUCAGCGGAGAGACGGUGGACGGCGGAUGAAUACUUCGGCUCCCGCGCCUUCUUCCGCAUCAUGUCCGACCCGCCGAUCCUGGUGGUGGGCGGCGUGCGUCAGAGGAGUUGAAAAAUGUGAGAGAAGACACAGUAUGUUGAGGGAAGGCAGCUGCACUAGUGACAGCAGCAGCAGAGCCCCACCACUGCUGCUGCUCCUCUCCUCUUCCCAGCACAGCAGCACACAGGACACAUUUCCAUCAUCUUUAAAUCCCGGACACUUGUGACUUGGUGAUAAUCUCACAGCAGCAAACCCUACAUUGCUCAGGUCAACUUCCAGCUAGAAUCAUAAUAUCUGGAGUUAUUUUUCCACAAAGAAGGAUUCAAAAUAUCCCCCCCAAAAAAUAAGAUAUUUUUAGAAAUGAAAAUCCACUCGAAUUUUCUGCCUGAAGCUCUCGUUAAAAUGACUCCCUCUUGAAUCUUGUGUCCGACUCCAGCUGUGUCCAAGAGAAUGGAUCUCCAGUUUGUAGUGAGACUUCCGAGCCGCCCAGACCUGUGAAGGCGAGCAGUCUGUCAGAUAAUGAGAGUAGACAACAUAAGCAACAUAAUGAGAGACAAAGUCACAAUAAUAGAGAUAAAAUGAAGGCACUCAAGUAUUAAUGAGAAAACAAAACAGAAUAAUAAGCAAAGUAAAAUAAUGAGACAAUAAGGCCAGCCAACAAAUAAUAGUGAAUUUAUUGUAGGAAGGGUCUGCUGUACUACUUAAUGACCAUUCAAGUCUACUUGUUAAAGAUGUGUUUACACUUUGAAGUGUCAUUUUCUUGUACUAUGAUACAUUUUUUACUAUUUUCUUCCACCUGCCUUAAUUAACAUUGAGUAGAGUCUCACUAAUACAACUUGAAUAUUACUCAGCCGGCAGUCUUUGCCAUGGUGGAGUGUGACACUGAAUCAGUACUGACAUUUUAUCAUUUACAUUUCAUUACUUUGAUUACUCAACAAAAUACUGCAUUGUUUUUUGUAACCUGCUGACUGGUGAAGGGACAACGUGUGCUCCUCAACACUUGGUUCUUGCCACGUGCCGCAGCAGACUGACAGCUUCCAGUGGGCCUGUCUGAGGUAAUGCACCACACAACAUUAGGAAUAGGAACAAUUAUUUCACUAAAACUUUAAUUACCUGCACUAAAAACUUUCAAUGAGUUUAUGUACUUUGUGAAUUUAGGAAUCUGGAACAAUGAUUGCACUUAUUUAACUACCUGCACUAAAGUGUUUGCUUUAGUUAUGGUGUUGACAGUAAGUAUAAAUACUUUAAGGGGCGUGACCUCCGCCGCAUUGCUUCAGCAGCCUUCAAGUCCCGGCAAUGAAACGGUUCGUGUGAGGAAGACCGCUUCUGGUGCUACUGGUGGAAAUUGUUACUAGUGUCGUGGUGGCAGCACGGGCCUCGGCACUCCCUGGCACCACGGCAGGUGUCAGUGAGGCAGGCAGGUGUUGGUUCAAGUCCUGGCAGUGUCACUUCGCUGCUGUAUUGUUUGGUGCAGCGGAUGAUGCUACGUUUUUCAUCACUUAGUGUAGAGUCUAUUUUUGCUUGACGUUAUUUGUGUUGGUAAGGCAUUUCCACUAUAUAGUGGUAGAUAUUCUGGGAAAUAAGGAAUUAGCAAUACUAAGACAUGCUUGAACAACACUCACCAGUGUGGAAGACUUGUCAGGCAGUGGCUGUAGUGGCUUCACUUGAACCACGACCAUGUUCUCCUCAACCCUUGGAAAGAGAACAAUUCAUCUGAAAUGGAGAUACAAAGAUAUUGGGGAAAAUUUAAGAGAGAGACGCUGCAAAGUGUAGCUGACAGUGUGCGUGUCGUCAUCAAGAGGAGGGGCUCUAAAAUGAAACAGUAGGACACUCGUGAAGACAUUCAUACUAUCUUUUCUCAAGGGAAGUGUGUGUCGUGUGUGUUAACAACGUCAGGCGCGGACAUUUUUUGCAUCAAGGGUGAUGUACGAUCCGGACAUGAAAAAAGUUUUUUUUUCUUUUAUAAUUUUCUAAUUUUUUUCCGCUUCUUUUGAUAUAUGUAACGUUUUGAUAAGAACUAAAAAAAUCCCCUUAUGUAAAGAGGUCUUCUGUUAUGAAAUUCCCACGGUUUCGCCCGCUGCGAGACAUGUCACACAACUUUUUUUUACAUUUUUUUUUCUCUUUUCAUAUAUUUUUCUGACAUACCCGUUCUUCUUCACUCUCCCAUGAAUAUCUACGGUUCUCUUGCUGCAUACAAUAUUAGAAAGCACGAAAUUCUAAGUCUAACUAUUUUCUCAAAUUGAUAUACGAAAAAAAAAUCAUAUAAUUAUUUUUUUUAUCGUAAAUCUAGCAAAUAGUUAAUGUAUCUGCAUUAGAUAUCUUUUGCAUUAAUAUUUUAUUUAUUUUCAAACAAUUAAACACUGGUUUUUACUUAGAAAUAUGGCGAAAUAUAACAAAAAUUGUUUUCACCCGCCUUCUCCCCUCCCACCCGGUAAUUAGGGGUGAAAUCAUGAAUAGCUUUAGGCCUUAUACACAAAACCAAUCGGAGUAACUAAAACUAUGUCUGCUUUUUCAACAUAUUCUGAUGUAUAUAUCGCGUGAAUUUUAAGUCCCUGGCUGCAAUAGGUGAAUUAGUCACCCCUUAAACUUUAUGACAUAAUAUCUCAAAAUGGCGGAUUUUAGCAUAUAAAAAUGAUCUGCUCUGUUUUUAUUGGUGUUACAGACAGAUGGGCUAUUGCGGCUUAUCAAACUGUGAGAGGCGAAUAAAGUCUGCUGUCGUCAUUUUUGUUUGGAGUUGAUUUUGAUUUUUGACAAAUAUUUGUUUUUUUUUUUUACUUUUCAUCGAAAAAAAAUCGUACAAUAAAAGAAAAAAGAUAGCAGACUUUGUUCUCCUAUCCUUCCUGAUCAAAAUACUUUUUAAAUAAAUGAGGGAGGAGAUACGAGUUGAACACAGGCAAUUUAACAAGGGAUUAGCGAUCCUUCAACCACCCUCAAGUGUAUGAAUAAAGGUGAUUAGUUACUUUGAUGUGGAAAGACUGUAAUUUGUAAAGAUGAGAAUAAAUGAGAAUAAAUUAUU